UGGGGAAUUGUUCGCAAUGGGCGCAAGCCUGACGACGCAACGCCGCGUGGAGGAUGAAGACCUUCGGGUCGUAAACUCCUUUCGAUCGAGACGAAUGGCCUCCGGGUGAACAAUCCGGAGGAGUGACGGUACCGAGAGAAGAAGCCCCGGCUAACUCCGUGCCAGCAGCCGCGGUAAUACGUAGGGACCAAGCGUUGUUCGGAUUUACUGGGCGUAAAGGGCGCGUAGGCGGUGUGUCAAGUCAGUUGUGAAAUCUCCGAGCUUAACUCGGAACGGUCAACUGAUACUGUCACACUAGAGUACAGAAGGGGCAAUCGGAAUUCUUGGUGUAGCGGUGAAAUGCGUAGAUAUCAAGAGGAACACCUGAGGCGAAGGCGGUUGCUGGGCUGAUACUGACGCUGAGGCGCGAAAGCUAGGGUAGCAAACGGGAUUAGAUACCCCCGUAGUCCCUGAGCGGGCUGGCAAGGCGCAU
Molecule: ribosomal RNA, 472 nt
Filed under: uncultured bacterium
Lineage: Bacteria
Description: bacterial SSU rRNA
Rfam family: Bacterial small subunit ribosomal RNA
Source: RNAcentral